UGUUGGUGUGUCUUGAGGACCGCGUUUGGGAAUGCCUGCUGUAUACGAUGCUCACCUGUCUGUGGUCAGUUUCUGUUUCUUUGCCUGGAGGAUGUUAGAGAACGUGUCUAUGAAGCUGAGGAAGAACGCCAGCAUGGACUGCGGACUGUCAGACACGUGGACCUCUGCAGCCUCUGCUUUCAGAUCCACAAAGAGACCGUCCAGCUCAUCCUUGUCAAACAGGUCGGGAACCUCUCCGGAGUUCAGGAUGCAGUUUAUAUCUUCUAGAAAAGAAUCCUGUGCCAGGCACAGAGAUGGCAGGGAACAUAUAUUAUAUAUCACAUAAUCAAUACAUAAUUCUGCAGGAUAUCAAUAGAGAUACCAGCCCGCAAAACAGGAAGACAUCCCCUAGCACAGUCCCGGCUUUUACAGAAAGUCCAUCAGGUUUCUGGAGCCGUUCAAGCAUAUUCUGGAUUAAAGUAGAUUUUCCGACUCCAGAAUCACCUAGAAAUAUGAAAACAAUUGAAGACAACACUGAAGUAGCCAGACAAAUCUAUAGAGACACCUCCACUAUACCCUCAUCUAGAACGCUACAUUAAACAUGACAAUUUAUUCUGCAGAGCUAAUGAUGGUGUAUGAUUGCGCGUUAUGGAGACUGGAGCCGGUUGGUGAGGGUGGGGAUUUAAGGGUUCCUGACUAAAUACUGGCUGAAAGCAAUCGUGCUCUUUAUUUUAAAGCCACCUACAAACACAUGAUGAACUUUUUGAAGUAUAUUUAAAUGUGACUGUAAAUUCCAUGAGCAUUUCCAGUAUAGAGGGGGUCAGACCAUCCCACCCCACCACCCGUCUUGUUACAUAACCUACAAGGUGGCAAAGAUUGGGCCACAGCCUAUACUUCCAAAGGUGGCUUUUUAGCUUCUAGACCAGUGAUGGUCACCAGUUGGCACCAAUCAUCCAUGAUUUCACCUGCACCCACCAGACACUCUGUGCUUUAUGCCCCAUAUGUCCUCUUGUCUUCAUUGUGGACCCAUCAGCCUAAGCAUUUUCUGUGAUUCAUGCCCCAACGCUUACACUUGUGAGCAUUCUCCAUCCCGGAGAACACAACAAAAGCAAGAGUUAGCCGGAUAGUAAUCUCUAUGCAGAACCAUGAUGCGCCUCUUCCAGCUCCUACUUACACAAAUUGGUGGAAAACCCGGUCAUGCAGGAGUCAUCCUGACAUGCCCGCUGGUAACUUAUUACAGAUAUGGGUCUCUUUCUUAGCCUAACCUAUCACUGAGAUGAAAGGUAACCUACGACCAUGGUGACUGUUACAGGGCUCCACAUGGCCCCCUGAAAGACAAUUCCAGUGUCCCUAAUCCUAACGGGUUAUAAAUGAGGCAACAAUAAACAUUUGAGGAGAAAAAUGGAAUCGCUGAAAUUAAU
Molecule: long non-coding RNA, 1400 nt
Organism: Pseudophryne corroboree (corroboree frog)
Lineage: Eukaryota; Metazoa; Chordata; Amphibia; Anura; Myobatrachidae
Exons: 4
Source: RefSeq, a predicted model, not a curated record